UCUGCAAUUGGACUUUGGGAAGAUUGCCAGAUUUGGCGGGAAAAAAGACAGACUUGGCGAAAAAAUCUAGAUUUGGUCAACAAAUUUAAGACUUGGCGUGCAAAAGCAAAUCUAUCUAUCAAUUAUUCCAAACAAGCAAAUAGAAAUCCCCCCAACAACAAGUGACUCGUCACAAUUGCAAGAAUUUCCGGUAAGGAUUGUGCAUGACCAGAUUUAUUGUGUGCAACAACAACCGACAAAUCAAGUCAUUAUUCAACACAAUAUGUUUCAGAUUCUAUCUUGAAAUUAGACAAUUAGAAGACAAAAAGAUAUGCAAAUUUCAAGGAUCACGAACGUGACGUACGUCUUUAGUUAAGAAAAAAAUAAAACUUUUAUAUACUGUAUGUCAACUUAUUGUUUGCAAAA
Long non-coding RNA from Drosophila innubila, 405 nucleotides. RefSeq lists it as uncharacterized. The record is from RefSeq and is a predicted model, not a curated record. NCBI's taxonomy places the organism in Eukaryota, Metazoa, Arthropoda, Insecta, Diptera, Drosophilidae. The transcript is spliced from 2 exons.